Molecule: ribosomal RNA, 253 nt
Filed under: uncultured bacterium
Lineage: Bacteria
Description: partial 16S ribosomal RNA
Rfam family: Bacterial small subunit ribosomal RNA
Source: RNAcentral
UACGUAGGGUGCAAGCGUUGUCCGGAAUUAUUGGGCGUAAAGAGCUCGUAGGCGGUUUGUCGCGUCUGCUGUGAAAACCCGAGGCUCAACCUCGGGCCUGCAGUGGGUACGGGCAGACUAGAGUGCGGUAGGGGAGAGUGGAAUUCCUGGUGUAGCGGUGGAAUGCGCAGAUAUCAGGAAGAACACCCGUGGCUAAGGCGGCUCUCUAGUACGGUACUGACGCUGAGACGCGAAAGCGUGGGGAGCGAACAGG